This 574-nucleotide ribosomal RNA is filed under the name Stenotrophomonas sp. CE7. RNAcentral describes it as "bacterial SSU rRNA". It matches the Rfam family "Bacterial small subunit ribosomal RNA", at positions 46 to 611 of the family's 1533-position model. The record is from RNAcentral. Lineage: Bacteria; Pseudomonadati; Pseudomonadota; Gammaproteobacteria; Lysobacterales; Lysobacteraceae.
GCCUAACACAUGCAAGUCGAACGGCAGCACAGGAGAGCUGCUCUCUGGUGGCGAGUGGCGGACGGGUGAGGAAUACAUCGGAAUCUACUUUUUCGUGGGGGAUAACGUAGGGAAACUUACGCUAAUACCGCAUACGACCUACGGGUGAAAGCAGGGGAUCUUCGGACCUUGCGCGAUUGAAUGAGCCGAUGUCGGAUUAGCUAGUUGGCGGGGUAAAGGCCCACCAAGGCGACGAUCCGUAGCUGGUCUGAGAGGAUGAUCAGCCACACUGGAACUGAGACACGGUCCAGACUCCUACGGGAGGCAGCAGUGGGGAAUAUUGGACAAUGGGCGCAAGCCUGAUCCAGCCAUACCGCGUGGGUGAAGAAGGCCUUCGGGUUGUAAAGCCCUUUUGUUGGGAAAGAAAUCCAGCUGGCUAAUACCCGGUUGGGAUGACGGUACCCAAAGAAUAAGCACCGGCUAACUUCGUGCCAGCAGCCGCGGUAAUACGAAGGGUGCAAGCGUUACUCGGAAUUACUGGGCGUAAAGCGUGCGUAGGUGGUCGUUUAAGUCCGUUGUGAAAGCCCUGGGCUCA